This 331-nucleotide ribosomal RNA is filed under the name uncultured Streptococcus sp. RNAcentral describes it as "bacterial SSU rRNA". It matches the Rfam family "Bacterial small subunit ribosomal RNA", at positions 1050 to 1382 of the family's 1533-position model. Lineage: Bacteria; Bacillati; Bacillota; Bacilli; Lactobacillales; Streptococcaceae. The record is from RNAcentral.
UGUCGUCAGCUCGUGUCGUGAGAUGUUGGGUUAAGUCCCGCAACGAGCGCAACCCCUAUUGUUAGUUGCCAUCAUUCAGUUGGGCACUCUAGCGAGACUGCCGGUAAUAAACCGGAGGAAGGUGGGGAUGACGUCAAAUCAUCAUGCCCCUUAUGACCUGGGCUACACACGUGCUACAAUGGUUGGUACAACGAGUUGCGAGUCGGUGACGGCGAGCUAAUCUCUUAAAGCCAAUCUCAGUUCGGAUUGUAGGCUGCAACUCGCCUACAUGAAGUCGGGAUCGCUAGUAAUCGCGGAUCAGCACGCCGCGGUGAAUACGUUCCCGGGCCUU